Molecule: ribosomal RNA, 427 nt
Filed under: Digonogastra sp. 5
Lineage: Eukaryota; Metazoa; Arthropoda; Insecta; Hymenoptera; Braconidae
Description: eukaryotic LSU rRNA
Source: RNAcentral
CCUGAGAAACCCAAAAGAUCGAAUGGGGAGAUUCAUCGUCAGCUCAUUUUAUAUAUAUGCUAGUUAUGAUAUGGGUUACUACUUGUAGUAUUGCCUGUACAUUCUUGUAUAUUUAAAUGUAAGAUGUUGUCGGCGUGCACUUCUCCCCUAGUAGGACGUCGCGACCCGUUGAGUUGUUGGUCUACGGCCCAAGUGGAAGCUUUUAGUGAAUUUUAUUCAUUGAAAACUCUUGGUGUUACCUGACUGGCGCUCGUCGGUAUUCGUAUGGUAUUGAGCCGCAUAUUAUAUGCGUCUAUAUCUGUCGCAAGCGAGGUUAGUUACUGAUAGUGCGGACCUAGUGCCGUCGUUGGUGCUAACCAGCUGUUGGUUGUACAGAAUUCUAGGACUGGCUCGUUGAAAUACCGGUCAGCGAUGCUACUGCUUUGGG